Molecule: ribosomal RNA, 429 nt
Filed under: uncultured bacterium
Lineage: Bacteria
Description: bacterial SSU rRNA
Rfam family: Bacterial small subunit ribosomal RNA
Source: RNAcentral
UGGGGAAUAUUGGACAAUGGGCGAAAGCCUGAUCCAGCAAUGCCGCGUGUGUGAAGAAGGCCUUCGGGUUGUAAAGCACUUUCAAUAGGGAAGAAAUACUCAAUGCUAAUACCAUUGAGGGCUGACAUUACCUAUAGAAGAAGCACCGGCUAACUCUGUGCCAGCAGCCGCGGUAAUACAGAGGGUGCAAGCGUUAAUCGGAAUUACUGGGCGUAAAGAGCACGUAGGCGGAAUAUUAAGUCGGAUGUGAAAUCCCUGGGCUCAACCUAGGAAUUGCAUUCGAAACUGAUAUUCUAGAGUAUGGUAGAGGAAAGUGGAAUUCCCGGUGUAGCGGUGAAAUGCGUAGAUAUCGGGAAGAACAUCAGUGGCGAAGGCGGCUUUCUGGACCAAUACUGACGCUGAGGUGCGAAAGCGUGGGGAGCAAACAGG